UACGUAGGGGGCAAGCGUUGUCCGGAAUCAUUGGGCGUAAAGCGCGUGUAGGCGGCUGAGUAAGUCUGCUCUGAAAGCCCGGGGCUCAACCCCCGGGAGGCGGGUGGAUACUGCUCAGCUCGAGUCCGGAAGAGGAGUGUGGAAUUCCUGGUGUAGCGGUGAAAUGCGCAGAUAUCAGGAGGAACACCAAUGGCGAAGGCAGCACUCUGGGACGGUACUGACGCUGAGACGCGAAAGCGUGGGAGCAACAGG
RNAcentral lists this ribosomal RNA (252 nucleotides) under uncultured bacterium. RNAcentral describes it as "partial 16S ribosomal RNA". It matches the Rfam family "Bacterial small subunit ribosomal RNA", at positions 524 to 776 of the family's 1533-position model. The record is from RNAcentral.